CAUCCAGAGGCCGAGCCUCUCCAAGCACUGGUCAGCCUUCAUGCCACCCAGUCUGCCGACCCUCCUCUCCACCAUCCCCUCGUCCGAGCAGUGGCGAUCCCUCCCGUGUCAAGGCUGGGCACAAGCACGUGGGGACAGGCCGGGCGAACCUCUUCCCGGCCGCUCUGGUGCACUUCGGAGCCGAGGAGCCGGCAGGUGUCUACCUGGAGCCUGGCCUGCUGGAGCAUGCCAUCUCCCCAUCUGCGGCCGACGUGCUGGUGGCCAGGUAAGUGCCGGUGGGUCUGGGGGCACCUCCCGUGGCGGCACUCACCACUCUGUGUCUUCGCCUCCCCACAGGUACAUGUCCAGGGCCGCCGGGUCCCCUUCCCCAUUGCCAGCCCCUGACCCUGCACCUAAGUCUGAGCCAGCUGCUGAGGAGGGGGCGCUGGUCCCCCCUGAGCCCAUCCCAGGGACGGCCCAGCCCGUGAAGAGGAGCCUGGGCAAGGUGCCCAAGUGGCUGAAGCUGCCGGCCAGCAAGAGGUGAGAGCUGCCAGCCUGAGGUGCCCACUCCGCCAGCCACAGGACCACCUCCUCUGCCAGCAGGAAUAAAGACUUGUGCAUCCCUC
RNAcentral lists this small RNA (605 nucleotides) under Pan troglodytes (chimpanzee). RNAcentral describes it as "processed transcript". Lineage: Eukaryota; Metazoa; Chordata; Mammalia; Primates; Hominidae. The record is from RNAcentral.